GACGUAGGAGACGAGCGUUGUCCGGAUUUACUGGGCGUAAAGCGCGCGCAGGCGGCCCCGCAGGUCGGUUGUGAAAGCCCCCGGCUCAACCGGGCGGAGGCGAGCGAAACCGCGGGGCUGGAGGCUGGCAGAGGGUGGUGGAAUUCCCGGUGUAGUGGUGAAAUGCGUAGAUAUCUGGAAGAACACCAAAGGCGAAGGCAGUGUCCUGGGUGGUCGCUGACGCUGAGAGGCGAAAGCCAGGGGAGCGAACGGG
This 253-nucleotide ribosomal RNA is filed under the name uncultured bacterium. Its description in RNAcentral is "partial 16S ribosomal RNA". It matches the Rfam family "Bacterial small subunit ribosomal RNA", at positions 524 to 776 of the family's 1533-position model. The record is from RNAcentral.